RNAcentral lists this ribosomal RNA (253 nucleotides) under uncultured bacterium. RNAcentral's name for it is "partial 16S ribosomal RNA". It matches the Rfam family "Bacterial small subunit ribosomal RNA", at positions 524 to 776 of the family's 1533-position model. The record is from RNAcentral.
CACGAACUGCGCAAACGUUAUUCGGAAUCACUGGGCUUAAAGAGUCCGUAGGCGGCUCGGCAGGUGAGGUGUGAAAUCCCACGGCUCAACCGUGGAAUUGCGCUUCAAACCGCCGGGCUCGAGGGAGAUAGAGGAGAGCGGAACUGAUGGUGGAGCGGUGAAAUGCGUUGAUAUCAUCAGGAACACCGGUGGCGAAAGCGGCUCUCUGGGUCUCUUCUGACGCUGAGGGACGAAAGCUAGGGGAGCAAACGGG